RNAcentral lists this ribosomal RNA (499 nucleotides) under uncultured bacterium. RNAcentral's name for it is "partial 16S ribosomal RNA". It matches the Rfam family "Bacterial small subunit ribosomal RNA", at positions 28 to 507 of the family's 1533-position model. The record is from RNAcentral.
GACGAACGCUGGCGGCGUGCCUAAUACAUGCAAGUCGAGCGAAGUUUUUCUGGUGCUUGCACUAGAAAAACUUAGCGGCGAACGGGUGAGUAACACGUAAAGAACCUGCCUCAUAGACUGGGACAACUAUUGGAAACGAUAGCUAAUACCGGAUAACAGUAUUUCUCGCAUGAGAGAUAUUUAAAAGUUGGUUAUGCUAACACUAUGAGAUGGCUUUGCGGUGCAUUAGCUAGUUGGUGGGGUAAAGGCCCACCAAGGCGACGAUGCAUAGCCGACCUGAGAGGGUGAUUGGCCACACUGGGACUGAGACACGGCCCAGGCUCCUACGGGAGGCAGCAGUAGGGAAUCUUCCGCAAUGGGCGAAAGCCUGACGGAGCAACGGCGCGUGAGUGAAGAAGGAUUUCGGUUCGUAAAGCUCUGUUGUUAGGGAAGAAUGGAUAUGUAGUAACUAUACAUGUAAGAGACGGUACCUAACCAGAAAGCCACGGCUAACUACGUG